AUUCAGGCCUGUCCGCUCGGAUUAGCAGGCGCUCACGACUCAAUGUGCCGCGAUAUUUCAUGUCCAGCGCAGCGGCUGGCCCCGGGCAGUCAUGCUGGGCACAAAGCUGAAACUGCGGCCAGAACUGGAUAUUGAAAAGGUCCAGCUGCACCUGCGGGUCCAGCUCCAGGCAGCCUGUCUGCUCUGUCCACCUGCCCGGUACCUACUCCACACCUUCUGGACCCGUGUACCUCACAAGAAGUCUUCAAGUCAGGUGCUGUUGGCCCUCCAACUCUGUUCUGUUCCUCUUUCUUUCUUUCUUUCUUUCUUUCUUUGUAAGUUGAUUUGGUUAUUUAAACCCUUUGCAUUUGGGGUUGAAUAUUCAAAUCAGGUUUUUAAUUUCUACCUCAAAUACAAAUCCUCUGUGAUUUGUAUUGGUAUUGCAUUAAAAUUAAAGAUGACUUUGGGGAGAAUUUAGUGUUCUGACCCAUGAAUGGGGCUCUCUCUCCACUUAUUGAGGUCUUUGAUUACCCUCAGAAAUUUUUAAUAAGGCCUCUACAUAUUUUGUCAAGUUUAUCUCUAAGUAUAUCUGAUGUUGGAAGUGAUGUUCUUAGAUUUCAAUUUCCAGUUAUUUGUUGCUAGUGUAUAGAAACGCAAUUGGUUUUUAUGUGUCAACCCUUGUAUUUUGUAGUUUUUGUAGGUAUUUUGAAUAUGCCAUAGGAUUUUCAGCGAGGAUAAUUAUGUCACCUACAAAUUAGGAGUUUUAUUUCGUCAGAUCAUUUGUUACCAAGUGGAAGGGAAGUGGGCAGAGUGGACAUCGCUGUCUUGUCCCAGUAUCAGGACCACGCUUCAGCCUUUCAUUGUUGAGUGCUGUGUUACCUGAAGCCUGGGCAUGUGCCCUUCAGCAAAUUACAGAAGUUCCCUUCUUGGACAGUUCAUUGAAAAUUUUGAUCAGGAAAGAAUGUUAAAUUUUGUAAAUGCUUUUUCUGGAGCUAUUAAGAUCUUGUGGGUUGUCCAUUUUGGACUAUUAGUGGUGAACUGUACUACCUAACAUUUCUAUUUUUUUUUUUUUGGUACCAGGUAUCAAACUCCAGACCUUGGGCUUGUGAGGCAGGUGGUGGAACCACUGAGCUAAAUCCUGGGCCCUAACAUUUCUAAUUUUUUUUGUUUUGUUUUUUUGGUACGAGGGAUUGAAUUCAGGACCUUGCGCUUGCAAGGCAGGCUCCGGAACCACUGAGUUAAAUCCCUGGCCCAACAUUUCUAAUGUUAAACCAGCCAUCGUUCCUGGGAUAAACCCAUCAUGGUUUAGUAUCUUUUGGAUGCCUUUUUUGGGGCUCAGUUUGCCUGUUUUUGUUAAGAAUUUCUGCAUCUAUCCAAGUAUAGUGGUGCACAGGAAGAUCACAAGUUUGAGGCCAGCCUGAGCAACUUAACCAUCCCAUGUCUCAAAGUUUAAAACUAAAAAAAAAACAGUUCUGGGCCGGGGAUUUAGCUCAGUGGUUCCACUGCCUGCCUUGCAACCGCAAGGACCCAAGUUCAAUCCCUGGUACCAAAAGAAUAAAUAAAUAAAUUUUUAAAAAUAAAAAGGUCCUGGGAUAUAGCUUAGUGGUAGAGUGCCCCUGGGUUCAAUCCCAGUAGCAGAGGAGGGCAAUUUCUGCACGUGUGUGACAGGUUUGUCAUUGUCUUUUCUCAUAAUGCUUGUUUGUUUUGGGCAUCAGAAUAAUGCUUGCUUCAUAAAAUGAGUUUGGAAUUAUUCCUUCCUUCUCAGUUUUCUGAAAGAGAUUGUGUGGAACUGGUGUUAUUUUAAUUACAGAUUCAAUUCCUUGAAUGUGGAGCUAUCCAGGGUCCCCCUUUCUUUUUGAUGAGCAAUAGAGGUUUGUAUUUCACAGAGCUCAUCCAUUUACUCUAAGUUCGCACACUUCCUGGCUUAGAGUUGCUCCUGAUAGUCCCUGAUUGCCCUUCUGCGCUGGACUCUGCGAUGCCCCUUCUUCCACUCCCAGUGUCACUGAUCUGUGACUUUCACUGUGGUGACCCCAUGAUCCAUGUGGCUCCUCGGUCGGUCUCUAUGGCCCAGUUUUCUCCGUGUUGUGGUCCCUACCCUUCCUCCCUGUGUGCUGGGGACCCUGCCCUGGUGACAGGCACUGUGGCUCUGACCUGCAGGGAGCUGGUUUUCCCUGGACUCUGGGCCGUGUCCUGUGUGCAGGUUUCCUGGGAGCAGCGAGCCUUGCGCUUCCUUUCAGCCUUGCCCAGUGGGACCAGGGCAGCGUGGAAUCCGGGGGCAGCAGCAUGCUGCAUCAGCGGCACGGGCCUCGUCUGGCAAUCGACGCCCUGCAAAGGAGGGUGUUUUCAAGCUCGAGCUUUGGGAGCAGGGGUUCAUGUCUGGUGUGAGGCCUGGUAACAUUUCUCUCCCACCUUGGGGGGUGACUUCCUCGGCGCUGGGCGGCUCCCCAUGCCCCAUGCUGGCUGAGGUCCAGGUAGGUUCUCAGGGGCCCUUGCUGGGUGCGUGUUCGGGCUCCGUGCUGCUUACCACACACCGGGCAUGGGGCUUCCAUGCCCUUUCCCAGCCUGGUCACUGCCUCAAGUGGCAGUGCCCAGUCCUUAGGAAUUCCUGGGGGAGAGUGAGCUUGGGCCUGCUACUCUAGAGCAUCACCUUUCUACUAAAGCCAUCCACACGUAUUCAUGUCCGGGUGAUGGGGUUCGCUGUGAUAGUCCCACACAUGCACACGCUGUCCUUUGAUCAUGUUUGUCCACCUCAGGAAGAGGCAUAUUUAAUGACUUCGAGAACAAGAAUGGAGCAGCUGUUGGCACCACUUCCACAGCACACCGGGAUCCCAGUCGGGCAAGAAGUCCAAAGUAUGAGAGUUGGUACCGUGAAAAAAGGCUGUUUCCAAACAUGAGUUUGUACGUAGGAAACACCUACAGGAAGCUGUUGGAAUUAGCAGGAUGUGAAAAUCGCUCGGGAUAAGGGAAGAGAUUGGCCGGUCUGACUCAGACCAAUAACUUCUGUGCAAGCAAGGACAUCUGUGAGGCCCAGAAGCACUGUUUGCUGCACACCACUUACAGCUCUGCACUGGAGCAGAAAGCACUCACACGAGACCCCCAAAGCAAACACACAGCAGAAGACGAGCCAGUCUGCACGUGAGCAGGACCUGGGCCACACUCCCCAGAGCACCUGAACAACUGCUCAGCACAACCCGCCAGGGAGAUGCAAACUAAACCAUGAAGAAAGAUCCCCGACCCAUCAGCCAGCACGCCGGGCUGGCACAGUGGGCGUGGCUCAGACCCAGAGCAGCACAAAGGUACCCUGCCCGAGCAGGUGAGUGUGCCGGGGAAACGCUUCACAGUGUGCGUCCGACCCAGAGCAGCGCCAACCCCAUCACUCCUGGCGUUUGCUCCAGAGAAGUGGGGAUGGGCCAGCGAUGUAGCUCAGUGGUUCCGCUACCUGCCUCACAAGCGAAAGGACCCUAGUUCAAUCCCUGGCACCAAAAAGAGAGAGAGAGAGAGAGAAGUGCAGAGCAGCUGCAUCCAUGAAGCUUUCUCCUCAGCCACCUGAGCCUGGAGCCACCACACACCGCAGCCAAGGAGGGGCUGGGGGUGUGCUCCUCAGGCCUAGCCGAGCAAGGGCACAGUGGGACAUCAGCACUGGUCACAGGUGCAGGGAGCAGGGACCAGCAGGUGGCUCGGGAGGCUGCUGAGAGCUGGAGUGUUCCACGGAGAAGUUUAGGCAGCAGGUCUGCGGGGCGCAGGCGCCUUCGAUUUCUGCACCGUGCCCUAGGUCAGCCAGGCCUCAAUGAACAAUUUAGGGUUUAAAAUGGCAGCUGAGUGCAAGCAUUCACUGCCUCUCUAAAAUGAGGGAGAGCUUUUAAGAGAGGUGCUGGGUGGCCAGGCAGUGACUGCUGACCGUGAGUCCUCUACGUGUGCCUCAGAGCUAGGAGGGCUGGCAGCUGGAGGCCCGGGGCCUCAGAGCAGGGGGGCUGAAGUGGGGUCUCAGAGGCUUUCUGCAGAGCAGGUAUCUGGCACUGCCGAGGACAGGACAGAGGCCGUGGAUGUCUGUUUUCUGUUGCUCUAACGAAAUACUCGAAGCUGGGUACUGAACAAGUUUUACUGAGCUCACAGUUUUGAGAGCUGAAAGUCCACAGUCCGGCACCUGCUGGUCGGAUUUGGCACCUCAUUCCCUGGCAUGGUAAGGGCUGGUUCCCGGACCACCCCACUCCUCAAAGCCUCUCUCACAGCACUGCAACCACACCAGACCACAGCAGGCUGGCGCCGAGCCUGGCCUCACGGCCCGCACCCCAGCAGCUGCGUGGAUGCAUCUCUGCCCGGGCUCCUGGCUGCGACCACCCUUGAGAGCUCAGACCCCCUCAGACACAGCAGCCUUGAGGUGUGGCUGGCACGCGCGCGGCACACAGACCCCCAAGCCAGGCCUCAGGAGCGGGAGACAAGGCGUGAGCCAGAGCUGUGAACAGCUUGGAGAGGUGCCAGGGCACCGAAGAGGCCCAGGCCCUGGGAUGCCUCUGGCAGACAAGUGUGGCUGCACACGAAGAGCUCAGUGAGGGUUGGGGCAGUCGGUCUGCAGGUGUCUUCCCAAAGGUGGUGAAAAAGAAGUAAGCAGAGAAAAGGAAACUGGGGAAGGUUUUAAAGAUUAGAUUCUGUCAAGGAGGUGCAGCGUCCAGAGGACAGCAGCCCCAGGUAGAGCAAGCACGGGACGGAGCCAGGAGACAGCGGAGAUGGAGCAGGGGUGGAAGGUAGGGAGGCCCAGGCAGAGACGCAGAGGCUGCACUGCACAGCGCCAAGGCCCUCAGGGCCUCCAGGGGAGCAGGCCCCACUGCGCAGGAGAGGCCUCAGCAUCCCUGCUGCAGUUCCUGGUGUCGGCCCAGAGCCACAGCUCUGAGCUUCCCUGUCAUUUCCACGGUGCUUUCAGCGGCUUUGCUCAGGGACAGCCAGGAGAGGGGGCCUCGGUGGGUGUGGGAGAGGCACGGUGGAUCCUGAUCACCCUAGGAGGAGAAGUUGGUCCUCACAGCCAUAGGGAUGUGAAGGGGGAGGGAACAAAACCAACAGCCCCAGCUAAGUGUCCCCGGACAGCAGUAGGGUGGCUCCACAGUGGCCUGCAAGUGCAGCCUGUGUGAGUCUGACCACUGUCUUGGGGGGUGGCGUUGCCUGUGCUACGAGUGGUUUGUGGAGGAGCGUGUGCACUGGGGACCCAUGGGGACCCCCGCUGGCGCCAGGCCCAGGCUGGGCAGCUCCGGGCAGUCAGACCCCUCUGCACAUGCCACCAAGGCCCACGUGCUGCCAGGCAGGAGGCCAUGCGGGCCUGGCAGGGAACUCCAGGCUGCUAGG
This is a long non-coding RNA of Heterocephalus glaber (naked mole-rat), 5313 nucleotides long. RefSeq lists it as uncharacterized. NCBI's taxonomy places the organism in Eukaryota, Metazoa, Chordata, Mammalia, Rodentia, Bathyergidae. The record is from RefSeq and is a predicted model, not a curated record.